GCUGGGCGCCAUGGCAGGCGCCUGUAAUCCCAGCUACUCAGGAGGCUGAAGCAGGAGAAUUGCUUGAACCCAGGAGGCGGAGGUUGCAGUGAGCUGAGAUCCCGCCACUGCACUCCAGCCUGGGUGACAGAGUAAGACUCUGUCUCCA
Papio anubis (olive baboon) is the source of this 148-nucleotide unclassified non-coding RNA. It matches the Rfam family "Metazoan signal recognition particle RNA". Rfam says of the family: The signal recognition particle (SRP) is a universally conserved ribonucleoprotein. It is involved in the co-translational targeting of proteins to membranes. The eukaryotic SRP consists of a 300-nucleotide 7S RNA and six proteins: SRPs 72, 68, 54, 19, 14, and 9. Lineage: Eukaryota; Metazoa; Chordata; Mammalia; Primates; Cercopithecidae. The record is from Ensembl.